Molecule: long non-coding RNA, 1647 nt
Filed under: Homo sapiens (human)
Lineage: Eukaryota; Metazoa; Chordata; Mammalia; Primates; Hominidae
Description: long independently transcribed non-coding RNA 2521, transcript variant 2 (LINC02521)
Source: RNAcentral
GGGGGCGGGGAAUCUGCUGAGGAACGGCGCUUUAUAAAUCAAAAGAUAAUAAUAACAGAGCUUACGGUGAGCACCGGAGGCUGGAAACGGGGUGGCAUCCGCUCGGGGCGGGGCGGCGUCGCCAGCGAAUGACAACACUGCCCCCUGGUGGCCGAUGCGGCCAGGCCCGAGAGAGCGCAGGCCGGGUGCGAGCCAGGCUUCCUCACCACGCGGCUUCCCCACUCAUCCCAUAGAAACCGUAACUGAGCAAAUGACGAGGCCAUCCUGAUGAGUACGAGGUGGUAGAGCUGCCUGCUUUUUGAUUAAUGUGACGAUCACACCCUCUGCCUGGGAGUUUUACAGACUGGUGAUGACUUUUUGUGGCAUCUCAGGAAAGAACAUAACUUCGUGGACGUCCUUAGUCAGAAUCUACUCAGUGUAUCUACUCAGUAUAGGCUCACAUGAGCCCUCACCUUCCCAGGGAGUCACAACCUCUACUAUACUUCUUCUUUCUGCUCUGCCCCCCACAAACGGCCCUGCCAGCCCUCACCACCUAGAGGGAGAUUGGGAGCCGGUAGAGGAAAGACACCCUGAAUCCCCGAGGUCAAGCAAAGCCCUGGGGAGGCGCCGUGGGAUCCCUGCCUCGGGCCUGCCUAGACAGUAUGUGAAUGAGUAUCCCAGAGAUUCUCCCCGCUGUGACCUCGAGGGCCAGCCUGCCUGUGUGGCCGUGAGCUGCUUUCUUCCCAGAGGAACUUGCUUGCGGCAGCAGGACUCCACAGCCUCAGGGGCAGCUUGGGCCUCGGCAAAGUGGGGAGCUGCCUCGGUCCAGCAGGGGUCCAGAUCACCUCCUCAUUUAGAGGGACCAUGUCUCUAGAGAGAUGACAUGCCAAAAACGGAAACCUCACAGGAGCUUUUUGUCCACCUGCAAGCGAGGUGCAGACACGUUUGAGAUGGUGGAUGGACUUUUUUUUUUCUCUUUUCUCUCUUUCCAAAAUCUGGACACACCAUGGCCCAGUGAUGGAGAAGAAGUCGAGGACCUGUCAAGGAUCUUCUUUCUUAGGAGUGGCGGAGGGCUGACCAGUCUCAAUAAAGCACAGGGGGAGCCCCUGUGACCCAGCGUCUGGGUGGCAGCCUGUGGACAAUCUGCAGCUCAUCUGGAUCACGCAGCUCAGCUGAACUCACAGCCCGAGGUCCAGCACUGCCCAGGGGCUGGCAGCCGUCCUGCUUGGGUGGGGCUCUGCAGGAUGGGCAACCACACGACGGUCUCCCUGGGAGCCUGGGAAAAGGGAGGAUUCACAGAUUACAAGGGGACAAGACCCUGUUGGACAAAAAUGACCAAGUGGGAAGCUGCCUAGCUCUGACCAGGUCUGGGAACACACUGGGAUUGGAAGUCAUCUAAAUAUAGCCUGUUUAUAGACUGCGAUCUGACUUUCUCAGGCACUGUUUGUAUGAGAGCUGGUAACUAUAGCACAAUUUUUCUAAACUGGUCAUUUUCAACACUGACUUUUUAUUUGCAUUUGAAAUGAUUUUAUUAUUGGCACCAGAGAACUAGAACCUCGGACUAUUGCUGUGGCUGAAAGCUACGCACAGCUUUCCAUGAAAUCUUAAUUUAUCAGCCUGUUUGGGUGUUUGAACAUUUAAAGCAAGCAAGAUAAAAGAAUCUGAAGG